CCUCCUGACUGGCGCCGACACUCUGCCUCGCGCAGAGAGUGGGAGGCCGGGAAGUUGUUCAAACUUGAUCAUUUAGAGGAAGUAAAAGUCGUAACAAGGUUUCCGUAGGUGAACCUGCGGAAGGAUCAUUACCGUUAGGCUUCAAAUCGAUGGACACAUCGAUUGGCUAACUACCCUGUGAACUCUCUGAAAGAAUCUUUAGGGGUCGGGCACGUUCCGUUAAAAGGAGAGCACCGCGGGCUUAGGUUGGCGGUGGGCUCCUGCCCCGACAGUGUUUUUUGACACAUUUGUUUUGAAAGACUGAGCACAGUGAGAUGGUGCAAAAGUACCACAAAAAAAAAAAAAAGUGUGACAACUUUUGACGGUGGAUCUCUAGGCUCACGCAUCGAUGAAGAACGCAGCCAGCUGCGAUAAGUAGUGUGAAUUGCAGAAUUCAGUGAAUCAUCGAAUCUUUGAACGCAAAUGGCGCUCUUGGGUUCUCCCAGGAGCAUGUCUGUCUGAGUGUCUUUUUACCUGCAAUGACAUUCGCACGACGAUCGUGCGGCGUUGAGGUUCGUGGCCUUCCUUGCAACGUAAGUGUUAGGCCGCGUGCCUUGAAAUGCAGGAGGAAGAAGGGCUAGAGGUCCGGUGCAGUCGCAUGCGGAUUCAGUUGUUGUGCCGCAGGCGACGGCAGCAGCCGCAUCCUCGAGCCUCCUCUCCCUCGUGACUACUGCUUCCACCUCGGACCUCAGAUCAGGCAAGG
This 742-nucleotide ribosomal RNA is filed under the name Seriatopora hystrix (bird's nest coral). RNAcentral describes it as "eukaryotic LSU rRNA". The stretch from base 354 to 507 matches the Rfam family "5.8S ribosomal RNA". Lineage: Eukaryota; Metazoa; Cnidaria; Anthozoa; Scleractinia; Pocilloporidae. The record is from RNAcentral.